Molecule: ribosomal RNA, 467 nt
Filed under: uncultured bacterium
Lineage: Bacteria
Description: partial 16S ribosomal RNA
Rfam family: Bacterial small subunit ribosomal RNA
Source: RNAcentral
CUACGGGAGGCUGCAGUGGGGAAUAUUGCGCAAUGGGCGAAAGCCUGACGCAGCGACGCCGCGUGAGUGAUGAAGGAUUUCGGUUCGUAAAGCUCUGUGGGAGAGGGAAGAACAAGUGAUGGGAAUAAUACCCCAUUGCCCUGACGGUACUUCUCCAGAAAGCACCGGCUAACUCCGUGCCAGCAGCCGCGGUAAUACGGAGGGUGCAAACGUUGUUCGGAAUCACUGGGCGUAAAGCGCGUGUAGGCGGCUUUGCAAGUCAGAUGUGAAAGCCCGGGGCUUAACCUCGGAAGUGCAUUUGAAACUGCAAGGAUCGAGUACGGGAGAGGAUUGUAGAAUUCCUGGUGUAGAGGUGAAAUUCGUAGAUAUCAGGAGGAAUACCGGUGGCGAAGGCGGCAAUCUGGACCGAUACUGACGCUGAGACGCGAAAGCGUGGGGAGCAAACAGGAUUAGAUACCCUCGUAGUC